RNAcentral lists this ribosomal RNA (253 nucleotides) under uncultured bacterium. RNAcentral's name for it is "partial 16S ribosomal RNA". It matches the Rfam family "Bacterial small subunit ribosomal RNA", at positions 524 to 776 of the family's 1533-position model. The record is from RNAcentral.
UACGAAGGGGGCUAGCGUUGUUCGGAUUUACUGGGCGUAAAGCGCACGUAGGCGGAUCGUUAAGUUGGGGGUGAAAUCCUGGAGCUCAACUCCAGAACUGCCUUCAAUACUGGCGAUCUAGAGUCCGGAAGAGGUGAGUGGAACUCCUAGUGUAGAGGUGGAAUUCGUAGAUAUCAGGAGGAACACCGGUGGCGAAGGCGGGUCUCUGGGCCGAUAUUGACGCUGAGGAGCGAAAGCGUGGGGAGCAAACAGG